This 252-nucleotide ribosomal RNA is filed under the name uncultured bacterium. RNAcentral's name for it is "partial 16S ribosomal RNA". It matches the Rfam family "Bacterial small subunit ribosomal RNA", at positions 524 to 776 of the family's 1533-position model. The record is from RNAcentral.
UACGUAGGGUGCGAGCGUUAAUCGGAAUUACUGGGCGUAAAGCGUGCGCAGGCGGUUUGUUAAGACAGAUGGGAAAUCCCCGGGCUUAACCUGGGAACUGCAUUUGUGACUGGCAAGCUAGAGUAUGGCAGAGGGGGUAGAAUUCCACGUGUAGCAGGGAAAUGCGUAGAGAUGUGGAGGAAUACCGAUGGCGAAGGCAGCCCCCUGGGCCAAUACUGACGCUCAUGCACGAAAGCGUGGGGAGCAAACAGG